CUAAAGGCAAAAACCACAUCCUGGUAUCUCACUCAGUAGCUGCAGGGGGGAGCUUUUGCACAAGCAAGCAGUUUAACAGAAGCCAAGAUAAGCAGUUGGCUGGAGGGGGAGGUUUGCAUAAGCAGGCAGUUUAACAGAACCUAAGGUAAAGUUAGCUGUGGCAUCUUGACCUCAGGUUUCUAGAAUAGCAUUGGGAAAUUUUCUGCAGGAUUCUCCAUCAAGGAGAUCAAAUUCUAGUUAAACCUGAAAUGGCCUCAAGAAGAAUACAAGAUGGGGGAGUUUCUGCACUGUCUUGACUUGUCAUGGUUGAAAUUGGGUCUACUCAUGGUCAUGCUUACCUUAGCUAGGAGAAAGGGGAGAAAGUGAACACAAUCGAGAUCCUCAGACAGUAACUCUCUCGCUCCAGAUAGAACGGUUGGUACCUAAAGGCAAAGGAAACAGGUGAAGACAAGGAAGUACUGUGGAAUAUUAUUUCAAGAUGCCCACUGUCCCAGCGCCUACAUCCCACGUUCCAGUAAGACCUCCAGUCAGUCUUUACAACAGUGGAAUGUUCUACCAUUUACCACUAACCCAAUGAAGGC
This is a long non-coding RNA of Peromyscus eremicus (cactus mouse), 581 nucleotides long. RefSeq lists it as uncharacterized. NCBI's taxonomy places the organism in Eukaryota, Metazoa, Chordata, Mammalia, Rodentia, Cricetidae. The transcript is spliced from 3 exons. The record is from RefSeq and is a predicted model, not a curated record.